AACGAACGCUGGCGGCAUGCCUAACACAUGCAAGUCGAACGAGACCUUCGGGUCUAGUGGCGCACGGGUGCGUAACGCGUGGGAAUCUGCCCUUGGGUUCGGAAUAACUUCGGGAAACUGAAGCUAAUACCGGAUGAUGACGUAAGUCCAAAGAUUUAUCGCCCAAGGAUGAGCCCCGCGUAGGAUUAGCUAGUUGGUGAGGUAAAGGCUCACCAAGGCGACGAUCCUUAGCUGGUCUGAGAGGAUGAUCAGCCACACUGGGACUGAGACACGGCCCAGACUCCUACGGGAGGUAGCAGUGGGGAAUCUUAGACAAUGGGGGAAACCCUGAUCUAGCCAUGCCGCGUGAUCGAUGAAGGCCUUAGGGUUGUAAAGAUCUUUCAGUGGGGAAGAUAAUGACGGUACCCACAGAAGAAGCCCCCGGCUAAACUCCGUGCCAGCAGCCGCGGUAAAGUGACUACUG
This 463-nucleotide ribosomal RNA is filed under the name uncultured bacterium. RNAcentral's name for it is "bacterial SSU rRNA". It matches the Rfam family "Bacterial small subunit ribosomal RNA", at positions 29 to 532 of the family's 1533-position model. The record is from RNAcentral.